CUCACCAUAGCUCAGUUGGCAGAGCGCAAGGAUUAGACAACCUUGAGGUCCCUGGUUCGAACCCAGGUGGUGAGU
Non-coding RNA from Monoraphidium neglectum, 75 nucleotides. NCBI's taxonomy places the organism in Eukaryota, Viridiplantae, Chlorophyta, Chlorophyceae, Sphaeropleales, Selenastraceae. The record is from the annotation of a RefSeq genome assembly.